Molecule: ribosomal RNA, 253 nt
Filed under: uncultured bacterium
Lineage: Bacteria
Description: partial 16S ribosomal RNA
Rfam family: Bacterial small subunit ribosomal RNA
Source: RNAcentral
UACAGAGGUCUCAAGCGUUGUUCGGAUUCAUUGGGCGUAAAGGGUGUGUAGGUGGCGCGUUAAGUCGGGUGUGAAAUUUCGGAGCUUAACUCCGAAACUGCAUUCGAUACUGGCGUGCUUGAGGACUGGAGAGGAGACUGGAAUUUACGGUGUAGCAGUGAAAUGCGUAGAUAUCGUAAGGAAGACCAGUGGCGAAGGCGGGUCUCUGGACAGUUCCUGACACUGAGACACGAAGGCCAGGGGAGCAAACGGG